GGCCGCGGGAAUUCGAUUCAGGCCUAACACAUGCAAGUCGAGCGAACCCUUCGGGGUGAGCGGCGGACGGGUGAGUAACGCGUGGGUAACCUGCCCUGUACACACGGAUAACAUACCGAAAGGUAUGCUAAUACGAGAUAAUAUGUAAUGAUCGCAUGGUCGAUACAUCAAAGCUCCGGCGGUACAGGAUGGACCCGCGUCUGAUUAGCUAGUUGGUGAGGUAAUGGCUCACCAAGGCGACGAUCAGUAGCCGACCUGAGAGGGUGAUCGGCCACAUUGGAACUGAGACACGGUCCAAACUCCUACGGGAGGCAGCAGUGGGGAAUAUUGAAAGGUGGGCGAAAGCCUGAUGCAGCAACGCCGCGUUAUUAAUGGGGCCUUCGGGUCGUAAAGCUCUGUCCUCAAGGAAGAUAAUGAC
RNAcentral lists this ribosomal RNA (418 nucleotides) under uncultured bacterium. RNAcentral describes it as "bacterial SSU rRNA". It matches the Rfam family "Bacterial small subunit ribosomal RNA", at positions 39 to 455 of the family's 1533-position model. The record is from RNAcentral.